UGGGGAAUAUUGGACAAUGGGCGAAAGCCUGAUCCAGCCAUGCCGCGUGUGUGAAGAAGGUCUUCGGAUUGUAAAGCACUUUAAGUUGGGAGGAAGGGCAUUAACCUAAUACGUUAGUGUUUUGACGUUACCGACAGAAUAAGCACCGGCUAACUCUGUGCCAGCAGCCGCGGUAAUACAGAGGGUGCAAGCGUUAAUCGGAAUUACUGGGCGUAAAGCGCGCGUAGGUGGUUUGUUAAGUUGGAUGUGAAAUCCCCGGGCUCAACCUGGGAACUGCAUUCAAAACUGACUGACUAGAGUAUGGGAGAGGGUGGUGGAAUUUCCUGUGUAGCGGUGAAAUGCGGAGAUAUAGGAAGGAACACCAGGGGCGAAGGCGACCACCUGGACUAAUACUGACACUGAGGGGCGAAAGCGUGGGGAGCAAACA
RNAcentral lists this ribosomal RNA (427 nucleotides) under uncultured bacterium. RNAcentral's name for it is "partial 16S ribosomal RNA". It matches the Rfam family "Bacterial small subunit ribosomal RNA", at positions 355 to 774 of the family's 1533-position model. The record is from RNAcentral.